UAGCAUACUUAGAGCUUCCUUGGGUUUGUGGAGGACAUGUCCGGUUUCAGUAAGUUAGUUUCACUUUCACGAAGACAAUGGAAACGCAGAAAAAGGAAAGCAGGUGGAUUUAGAAAUUUCAACAUUGUAGAGCUCAGUUGAAAGGGAAAACAAGAUUUAUAGCAUCCAGCCAGAGUGGUGAUUCAAUUUUUGAUGAUUUGUACUUUGAUUGUGAGGUCGAUGAAGACAUGACAUGGAUUUGGGUGGGGCAGUGGGUUUGCUCGCGAGGAGGUGGGAAGGACGAAGAUAGUGGAAGAACCUUGAGAUGAUGAUGGUUAAGGUUCUAGAGCUCAUUGCUAUGAAAGGAGGCAUAGAUUUGAUUCACGGAAUUGCAACCAGAAUUGGAGUGAGCGUGAGUAACAAUCUCCUGCAGACAAUACAUUCUUUUGAAGCUACGGCUGCGGGAUCGUACGGCAAAAAAUUCCUUGUGCCUCGCCCGGUCUUCGCUGCCCUACUGGGCCACGGAUGGGUCUUUUCUUAUGGACCGUCCACGCAAAAAAAGUGAUGGAAGGUAGAUUGAGCUGAUAAAUUCCUGCACCCACCUUGAGGUCCAUAACAUUCUCCUAAUUAUAUGCAGCACAAUUCGUAUAGAUGUAUUUGUUUGAGGGAGAAGCAAUCAGAAGCAACAAUAUGUGAUCAUCAUGUGUGCGAGAGAUAUCAAGAGUAUGUGAUGAGAUGGCAAGAGUAUGUGAUAUGUAUUUCUGUCUACACUACUAAUAUCUAUUGACUGUUCAUGUUGAUACAGUAGGUUCAUGAUUGAUUAUGGAAACAAUAAAAUUACUCGAGAAAUAUUUUAUGUGUAUGUACUUUGAGACUCGAGAGGCUGUUAUUUACAGGGAUUCUCUGUCCACUAGAGAGGUUGGUGUCAAAUCAACAUCGGAACAAGGGCAUAUAAGUGGAAUGAGGUAAAGUCAUUUUUUCUCUGUCUCCAUGGUAUGCUGAUAUG
Molecule: non-coding RNA, 985 nt
Organism: Triticum urartu
Lineage: Eukaryota; Viridiplantae; Streptophyta; Magnoliopsida; Poales; Poaceae
Source: RefSeq, a predicted model, not a curated record